UUUCCGUAGGUGAACCUGCGGAAGGAUCAUUAUCGAAUUUCGAGGGGAAGGAAGAUGAGGAGUGGAGACUGUCGCUGGCUCUCCCGCCUGGGAAGCAUGUGCACGCCUUGCUUUUCGUUGACCUUUCUCUUACUCUCACACCUGUGCACCCAUUGUAGGUCCUCGAAAGAGGAUCUAUGUUUUUAUCAUCACACGCAUCGUAUGUCCAUAGAAUGUAACAUGAUCGUCGAUCGACCUCGCGGUCGGGUGGCGGUCUAAAUAAAUAAAUACAACUUUCAGCAACGGAUCUCUUGGCUCUC
RNAcentral lists this unclassified non-coding RNA (299 nucleotides) under plant metagenome. Its description in RNAcentral is "partial contains small subunit ribosomal RNA, internal transcribed spacer 1, and 5.8S ribosomal RNA". The record is from RNAcentral.